RNAcentral lists this ribosomal RNA (486 nucleotides) under uncultured bacterium. RNAcentral describes it as "bacterial SSU rRNA". It matches the Rfam family "Bacterial small subunit ribosomal RNA", at positions 30 to 507 of the family's 1533-position model. The record is from RNAcentral.
AUUGAACGCUGGCGGCAGGCUUAACACAUGCAAGUCGAGCGGUAACAUUUCUAGCUUGCUAGAAGAUGACGAGCGGCGGACGGGUGAGUAAUACUUAGGAAUCUACCUAGUAGUGGGGGAUAGCACGGGGAAACUCGUAUUAAUACCGCAUACGACCUACGGGAGAAAGGGGGCAGUUUACUGCUCUCGCUAUUAGAUGAGCCUAAGUCGGAUUAGCUAGAUGGUGGGGUAAAGGCCUACCAUGGCGACAAUCUGUAGCUGGUCUGAGAGGAUGAUCAGCCACACCGGGACUGAGACACGGCCCGGACUCCUACGGGAGGCAGCAGUGGGGAAUAUUGGACAAUGGGGGCAACCCUGAUCCAGCCAUGCCGCGUGUGUGAAGAAGGCCUUUUGGUUGUAAAGCACUUUAAGCAGUGAAGAAAACUCUGUGGUUAAUACCCACAGACGAUGACAUUAGCUGCAGAAUAAGCACCGGCUAACUCUGUG